RNAcentral lists this ribosomal RNA (253 nucleotides) under uncultured bacterium. Its description in RNAcentral is "partial 16S ribosomal RNA". It matches the Rfam family "Bacterial small subunit ribosomal RNA", at positions 524 to 776 of the family's 1533-position model. The record is from RNAcentral.
UACGUAGGAGGCGAGCGUUGUCCGGAAUCACUGGGUGUAAAGCGCGUGUAGGCGGCCUGCCAAGUCUGCUGUGAAAGCGCCUGGCUUAACCGGGCGAGGUCGGUGGAAACUGGCGGGCUGGAGGCCGGUAGAGGGGGGUGGAAUUCCCGGUGUAGUGGUGAAAUGCGUAGAGAUCGGGAGGAACACCAGUGGCGAAGGCGGCCCCCUGGGCCGCGCCUGACGCUGAGACGCGAAAGCGCGGGGAGCGAACGGG